CAGUCGACGGGAAGAGAUGAAGAGCUUGCUCUUUAUCAAAUCCAGUGGCAAACCGUUGAGUAACACGUAAACAACCUGCCUUCAGGAUGGGGACAACCUACGGAAACGACUGCUAAUACCGAAUACGUUCCACGGGCCGCAUGACCUGUGGAAGAAAGGGUAGCCUCUACCUGUAAGCUAUCGCCUGAAGAGGGGUUUGCGUCUGAUUAGGCAGUUGGUGGGGUAACGGCCCACCAAACCAACGAUCAGUAGCCGGUCUGAGAGGAUGAACGGCCACACUGGAACUGAGACACGGUCCAGACUCCUACGGGAGGCAGCAGUGGGGAAUCUUCCGCAAUGGACGAAAGUCUGACGGAGCAACGCCGCGUGAGUGAAGACGGCCUUCGGGUUAUAAAGCUCUGUGAUCCGGGACGAAAGAGCCUAAGGUAAAUAGCCUAAGGAAGUGACGGUACCGGAAAAGCAAGCCACGGCUAACUACGUGCCAGCAGCCGCGGUAAUACGUAGGUGGCAAGCGUUGUCCGGAAUUAUUGGGCGUAAAGCGCGCGCAGGCGGCUUCCUAAGUCCAUCUUAAAAGUGCGGGGCUUAACCCCGUGAUGGGAUGGAAACUGGGAAGCUGGAGUAUCGGAGAGGAAAGUGGAAUUCCUAGUGUAGCGGUGAAAUGCGUAGAGAUUAGGAAGAACACCGGUGGCGAAGGCGACUUUCUGGACGAAAACUGACGCUGAGGCGCGAAAGCGUGGGGAGCAAACAGGAUUAG
Molecule: ribosomal RNA, 754 nt
Filed under: uncultured bacterium
Lineage: Bacteria
Description: bacterial SSU rRNA
Rfam family: Bacterial small subunit ribosomal RNA
Source: RNAcentral